GAUGAAGAACGCAGCGAAAUGCGAUACGUAAUGUGAAUUGCAGAAUUCAGUGAAUCAUCGAAUCUUUGAACGCAUAUUGCGCUCUCUGGUAUUCCGGAGAGCAUGCUUGUUUGAGUAUCAGUAAACACCUCAACUCCCCUUUCUUUUUUUGAAAUGGGAGCUGGACUUGAGUGAUCCCAACGCUUUUCUCACCGAAAAGUGGCGGGUUACUUGAAAUGCAGGUGCAGCUGGACUUUUCUCUGAGCUAAAAGCAUAUCUAUUUAGUCUGCCUAAAAAACAGAUUAUUACCUGUGCUGCAGCUAACAUAAAGGAGAUUAGUUCUUGUGCUGACUGAUGCAGGAUUCACAGAGACAGCUUCGGCUGGCCUUUGUAAACUCGAUCUCAAAUCAAGUAAGACUACCCGCUGAACUUAAGCAUAUCAAUAAGCGGAGGA
This 433-nucleotide unclassified non-coding RNA is filed under the name soil metagenome. Its description in RNAcentral is "partial contains 5.8S ribosomal RNA, internal transcribed spacer 2, and large subunit ribosomal RNA". The stretch from base 1 to 120 matches the Rfam family "5.8S ribosomal RNA", at positions 35 to 154 of the family's 154-position model. The record is from RNAcentral.